This 441-nucleotide ribosomal RNA is filed under the name uncultured bacterium. RNAcentral describes it as "bacterial SSU rRNA". It matches the Rfam family "Bacterial small subunit ribosomal RNA", at positions 355 to 796 of the family's 1533-position model. The record is from RNAcentral.
UGGGGAAUCUUGCGCAAUGGCCGAAAGGCUGACGCAGCGACGCCGCGUGUGGGAUGACGCCUUUCGGGGUGUAAACCACUGUUGCCCGGGACGAAACGCCUUUUUCGAGAGGCUUGACGGUACCGGGUGAGGAAGCACCGGCUAACUCCGUGCCAGCAGCCGCGGUAAUACGGAGGGUGCGAGCGUUGUCCGGAAUCACUGGGCGUAAAGGGCGCGUAGGCGGCUUGGGAAGUCCGUGGUGAAAGCUCGUGGCUCAACUACGAGUCGGCCAAGGAUACUCCUGAGCUCGAGUCGACUAGAGGCUAAUGGAAUUCCGGGUGUAGCGGUGGAAUGCGUAGAGAUCCGGAAGAACACCGGUGGCGAAGGCGGUUAGCUGGGGUCGGACUGACGCUGAGGCGCGACAGCGUGGGGAGCAAACAGGAUUAGAUACCCCCGUAGUCC